AGUUUGAUCAUGGCUCAGAAUCAACGCUGGCGGCGUGCCUCAGACAUGCAAGUCGAACGCGAAAGCCCCCUUCGGGGGGCAAGUAGAGUGGCGCACGGGUGAGUAACACGUAGGUAAUCUACCUUCGGGUGGGGAAUAACAACCGGAAACGGUUGCUAAUACCGCAUAAUGCAGCGGCACCUAAUGGUGACAGUUGUUAAAGCGGGGGAUCGAAAGAUCUCGCGCCUGAAGAGGAGCCUGCGGCGGAUUAGCUAGUUGGUAGGGUAACGGCCUACCAAGGCGACGAUCCGUAGCCGGCCUGAGAGGGCGGUCGGCCACACUGACACUGACAUACGGGUCAGACUCCUACGGGAGGCAGCAGUCGGGAAUUUUGGGCAAUGGGCGAAAGCCUGACCCAGCAACGCCGCGUGAAGGAUGAAAUCCCUCGGGAUGUAAACUUCGCAAGAACGGGAAGAAUAAGUAGGGGAUAAUACCCCCUAUGAUGACGGUACCGUUUGUAAGCUCCGGCUAACUCCGUGCCAGCAGCCGCGGUAAUACGGGGGGAGCAAGCGUUGUUCGGAUUUACUGGGCGUAAAGGGCGCGUAGGCGGCCACCGCAAGUCAGUUGUGAAAUCUCCGAGCUUAACUCGGAAAGGUCAACUGAUACUGCGGGGCUAGAGUGCGGAAGGG
Molecule: ribosomal RNA, 668 nt
Filed under: uncultured bacterium
Lineage: Bacteria
Description: bacterial SSU rRNA
Rfam family: Bacterial small subunit ribosomal RNA
Source: RNAcentral